UUUUGAUAGGGUAGGAUUACACCAGGCUGUGUAUGUCACCGAAUAAAAAUAUGCAAAGAUAUACACUACAUACAGUUAUUUACUGAGAUGUUUGUGUUGUUUUUUAUGUCUUUAAGAUUGAGAAUGUUGCUUCAUUGGAUGCUCUGCAAGCAUGAGACACAGCACAAUGUUACAGACAGCAGGCUGUCUGAGACAUGUGGCUGCUGUGGAAGAAAAGAAAGAAAUCGUGGCAGACUACCUGCAAUGGUAUAUUAUUGGCCACAACUCAUCUGUAUUUGAUAGGUUCUUUCAGUCCUUCAGUUUCUUACUGCACCACAGCAACACCCUUCUUUGCUGACUCCUGUCCUGUGCCACUCUGAAAAGCGACUCACUGGCUUUGAACUUGAGAGACUCUUCAAACCUGACCUCAGCCCUUCAGGGAGUAACAGGAGACUAAAAGAAAGUCAAACCUUGGCCUACUGGGCAGACUAUCUUCUCGAUUGUGAAGAAGGCGAGGCUGCUGUGUCUGUGGAGGAUGUUUUGAUGUUUGCAACUGGGCUGACUUCACUUCCACCUUCUGGCUUGGAACCAUCGCCACAAAUAGAGUUCCUGGAUGACUCUCCAUUCCCAAUGGCAAAUACAUGUUCAAACCUGUUGAAAUUACCACUCCAAGAUUCAUGCAAUGUGUUUAAGUUACAAAUGGACUUUGGAAUCCAAAAUAGUCCAGGAUUUGGCUGUUUAUAAGCCAUUUGACUGGAAAACCACUAGAGCAUGGACUCUAAAAAUGUUGUCUACUAUCAUUGGUGCACUGAAAGGUGCAGUUGCUUUUGUUAAAGAGGUUU
Long non-coding RNA from Stegastes partitus (bicolor damselfish), 821 nucleotides. RefSeq lists it as uncharacterized. The record is from RefSeq and is a predicted model, not a curated record. The transcript has 3 exons. NCBI's taxonomy places the organism in Eukaryota, Metazoa, Chordata, Actinopteri, Pomacentridae.